This 24-nucleotide small RNA is filed under the name Arabidopsis thaliana (thale cress). The record is from RNAcentral. Lineage: Eukaryota; Viridiplantae; Streptophyta; Magnoliopsida; Brassicales; Brassicaceae.
GUGCCCCGGAGACACGGUCGAAGC